GGGUACAGUUCAUUUGGUAGAACUUUUGGCUAUUAUGCAAGAAGUCCUGGGUUCAGUUCCCAGUAUAUCCA
RNAcentral lists this transfer RNA (71 nucleotides) under Mus musculus (house mouse). It matches the Rfam family "tRNA". Rfam says of the family: Transfer RNA (tRNA) molecules are approximately 80 nucleotides in length. Their secondary structure includes four short double-helical elements and three loops (D, anti-codon, and T loops). Further hydrogen bonds mediate the characteristic L-shaped molecular structure. tRNAs have two regions of fundamental functional importance: the anti-codon, which is responsible for specific mRNA codon recognition, and the 3' end, to which the tRNAs corresponding amino acid is attached (by aminoacyl-tRNA synthetases). tRNAs cope with the degeneracy of the genetic code in two manners: having more than one tRNA (with a specific anti-codon) for a particular amino acid; and 'wobble' base-pairing, i.e. permitting non-standard base-pairing at the 3rd anti-codon position. Lineage: Eukaryota; Metazoa; Chordata; Mammalia; Rodentia; Muridae. The record is from Rfam by way of RNAcentral.